GACGAACGCUGGCGGCGUGCUUAACACAUGCAAGUCGAGCGGAGCGGCGAACGGGUGAGUAACGCGUGAGUAACUGCCCCCCUCUCUGGGAUAACAGUUGGAAACGGCUGCUAAUACCGGAUAGUGGGGGAUGACUCGCGUCCUAUCAGCUUGUUGGUGGGGUAGUGGCCUACCAAGGCGAAGACGGGUAGCCGGCCUGAGAGGCUGAUCAGUCACACUGGACUGAGACACGGUCCAGACUCCGACGGGAGGCAGCAGUGGGGAAUAUGGGACAAUGGGCGAAAGCCUGAUGCAGCAACGCCGCGGGCGGGAUGACGGCCUUCGGGUUGUAAACCGCUUUCAGCCAUGACGCGGUAGUGGCAGAAGAAGCACCGGCUAACUACGUGCCAGCAGCCGCGGUAAUAC
RNAcentral lists this ribosomal RNA (405 nucleotides) under uncultured bacterium. RNAcentral's name for it is "partial 16S ribosomal RNA". It matches the Rfam family "Bacterial small subunit ribosomal RNA", at positions 28 to 526 of the family's 1533-position model. The record is from RNAcentral.